UAAUUCUUUAAAAUCAUGAUUUUUGAUUUAUCAAUAAUAAAAUGGGCUAUACAUGGGCUUGCCCAUAUGGACAUGGUCUUUAUUGGGCAUGGACAUUUUUCGGACCAUUGUCCAUUAUGGACCGUCCAACUUGACCCAUAAAAAGAAUUGUCCCUACGGACACGCCCAAUGGUCCCUGGACGGAUCAUUUGACAGUUAUACUAAUAGGAAGCUUCGUAGAAGCCGUAAGCCGAAAUAAUCUAAAGCCCUUUUAAGAUUUGGGGAUAAAUAUUUAUAUAUAAGGCUAGACAUGGGGAAAAAAA
RNAcentral lists this small RNA (302 nucleotides) under Arabidopsis thaliana (thale cress). RNAcentral describes it as "ATSL000870". Lineage: Eukaryota; Viridiplantae; Streptophyta; Magnoliopsida; Brassicales; Brassicaceae. The record is from RNAcentral.